AACGAACGCUGGCGGCGGGGUUUAGGCAUGCAAGUCGCGCGAGAAAGGGGUAACCCGAGUACAGCGGCGUAAGGGUGAGUAACAGAUAGUCAACGUACCUAUGAGACACGGAUAAUUUCCCGAAAGGGAUUGUAAUACGGGAUGACGUCAUUGCUGGUACGCCGGUGAUGAUCAAAGGCUGGGGAUCCUUCGGGACCUGGCGCUCAUGGAGCGGACGAUCUCCGAUUAGCUAGUUGGCGGGGUAGAAGCCCACCAAGGCGAUGAUCGGUAGCCGGGCUGAGAGGCUGUCCGGCCACACGGGCACUGAGACACUGGCCCGACUCCUACGGGAGGCUGCAGUCGCGAAUCUUUUCACAAUGGGCAAAGCCUGAUGAAGCCACGCCGCGUGCGGGAUGAAGGCCCUCU
Molecule: ribosomal RNA, 405 nt
Filed under: uncultured bacterium
Lineage: Bacteria
Description: bacterial SSU rRNA
Rfam family: Bacterial small subunit ribosomal RNA
Source: RNAcentral